UCGCCUGUUUAUCAAAAACAUCGCCUCUUGAAAAAUAUAAGAGGUCCAGCCUGCCCAGUGACUCUGUUCAACGGCCGCGGUAUCCUAACCGUGCGAAGGUAGCGUAAUCACUUGUUCUUUAAAUGAGGACUAGUAUGAAAGGCAUCACGAGGGUUAUACUGUCUCCUUUUUCUAAUUAGUGAAACUAAUCUCCCCGUGAAGAAGCGGGGAUCUUUAUAUAAGACGAGAAGACCCUAUGGAGCUUUAAAUAAUAUAACAAUUGCUACUUUAUUUCUACUAACCUCGUAUCAUCUAGCAAUAUGAUUAUUAAUUUUUGGUUGGGGUGACCGCGGAGCAUAACACAACCUCCACAUUGAAAGGAUGCUACUCCUAAGCUAAAAGCAACAACUUUAUGCAUCAAUAAAUUGACAUCAAUUGACCCAAUAUAUUUGAUCAACGAACCAAGUUACCCUAGGGAUAACAGCGCAAUCUACUUUAAGAGCCCAUAUCGACAAGUAGGUUUACGACCUCGAUGUUGGAUCAGGGUAUCCUAGUGGUGCAGCCGCUACUAAUGGUUCGUUUGUUCAACGAUUAAAACCCUACGUGAUCUGAGUUCAGACGGGA
RNAcentral lists this ribosomal RNA (603 nucleotides) under Thoropa miliaris (rock river frog). RNAcentral's name for it is "partial 16S ribosomal RNA". It matches the Rfam family "Bacterial large subunit ribosomal RNA", at positions 1796 to 2620 of the family's 2925-position model. Lineage: Eukaryota; Metazoa; Chordata; Amphibia; Anura; Cycloramphidae. The record is from RNAcentral.